AANCCGAUAUAAUGCAGUCGAGCGAUGGAUUAAAGAGCUUGCUCUUAUGAAGUUAGCGGCGGACGGGUGAGUAACACGUGGGUAACCUGCCCAUAAGACUGGGAUAACUCCGGGAAACCGGGGCUAAUACCGGAUAACAUUUUGAACCGCAUGGUUCAAAAUUGAAAGGCGGCUUCGGCUGUCACUUAUGGAUGGACCCGCGUCGCAUUAGCUAGUUGGUGAGGUAACGGCUCACCAAGGCAACGAUGCGUACCCGACCUGAGAGGGUGAUCGGCCACACUGGGACUGAGACACGGCCCAGACUCCUACGGGAGGCAGCAGUAGGGAAUCUUCCGCAAUGGACGAAAGUCUGACGGAACAACGCCGCGUGAGUGAUGAAGGCUUUCGGGUCGUAAAACUCUGUUGUUAGGGAAGAACAAGUGCUAGUUGAAUAAGCUGGCACCUUGACGGUACCUAACCAAAAAGCCGCGGCUAACUACGUGCCAGCAGCCGCGGUAAUACGUAGGUGGCAAGCGUUAUCCGGAAUUAUUGGGCGUAAAGCGCGCGCAGGUGGUUUCUUAAUUCUGAUGUGAAAGCCCACGGCUCAACCGUGGAGGGUCAUUGGAAACUGGGAAACUUGAGUGCAAAAGAGGAAAAUGGAAUUCCAUGUGUAGCGGUGAAAUGCGUAGAGAUAUGGAAGAACACCAUUGGCGAAAGGCGACUUUCUGGUCUGUACUGACCCUGAGGCGCUAAACGUGGGGAGCAAACAGGAUUAAAUACCCUGGUAUUCCACCCCUAAAAAAUAAGUGCUAAUGUUAGAGGUUUCCUCCCCUUUAUGCUGAAGUAACCAUUUAACACUCCGCCCGGGGGAGUACGGCCGCGAGGGUUGAAACUCAAAAGAAAUUAAAAGGCGGCCCGCCCCACUCUGUUGCAGCAUUGUGUUUAAUUAAAAGCACGCAGAAAAACAUUACCAAGGGCGUGGACGUCCU
RNAcentral lists this ribosomal RNA (968 nucleotides) under Bacillus cereus. RNAcentral describes it as "bacterial SSU rRNA". It matches the Rfam family "Bacterial small subunit ribosomal RNA", at positions 45 to 990 of the family's 1533-position model. Lineage: Bacteria; Bacillati; Bacillota; Bacilli; Caryophanales; Bacillaceae. The record is from RNAcentral.